AAUUUGGAGGUCUAGAACAGAGAACACCCCAUAAUGUUUGGGAGUUCUUAGUCUAAUAGAUGAAACCUCUUUGAUUUGCAGCUAUUUCGUCGAAGUCAACGGUGGAAUCAUCUUCUCAACCCAUCAUUCCGGUUCGCUGCCCAGAACUAGAUUACAUUGAUUUGGAGGCCCAACGAAACGGGGAGGCUCAUGUCCCGGAGUGAUUGCUUGAUUAUUUGAGGUUUCGUUCCUGGACUUCACUAUCUCUUUUCUUGAUCAUUCGAGGCUUCUGAGAGUUGACAGAGAUGCCGAGGACCAGAUCCAUGUCUAUUGGUAGAGAGGAGGCAGUCCCCUGGGCAGUUGUUGAGACCCCAACUAGGGGUAGAGGUAGGGGCUAAGUGAGCGGAGGAGGCCAUGGAGCGGUUGUUGGAAAGGGUCGUGCCAGAGGAGCGACACCUGCUUAAGGUCGUGCUAGAGAGGCCUCCCCAGAGCACAGGUUGAGAUUGUAACACCCAAAAUAUUUCUACGCCAAGACCUGAAGCAUUUUUCAUGUAUGUAUAGGAUCGUACUCGAUGACUUUAAAGUGCAUUCAUGAGUUAGGAUCAAUUCCUAAGUAAUUCAAGGGUAUUAUAUGUGAUUUAGGGUCAUAAGGGAUCCCUAAAACCAAGCCAAGUCCAAAGAACUAGUCUCGGCUAAGUUUCCGAAUGAGUUCGUAUAAGGGUCAACUUCCAAUUACCAUAUCUCUUUGAAUAUAACGAACUGGGUGGCCCAUGACCUACCAAAUUAAAGUUCUUUGUGUCUUCUUUCCAACUCCACCGAGAUUACAAUUGUUGGAGUUCGGAGUAAAGAGUUAUGACCAUUUUACCACAGACUAUCUCUACAGAAAUUUCAGGCAAACUAGCCUCAGUAGUUUGGGUGCUGGCGCGUCGUGCCAGCUAUAGCGCCAUCAGUUUUUUGGCCUAUUUUCCAGAUUUUAGGGUCAUUUUAGCCAUUUCUUGAGUUGUACCCAAAGUGAGGUCGUUUUGGGGACUGAAUUGACCCUAUCUAAAGAUCCUAAACCUUCUAAACCUCUUAUUUCUCACAAUUAGACUCAAUAUACUAAACUCCUCUCCUCUCAAAAUCUCCCAAGAGCUUCAAGGCAAGGUUAGGUUUUCCAAUUCAAGACAUUCAAGUCUCAAUUCUUCCUCAAGUUCUCAUAGAGAUUUUAUGUCCCCAAGGUAUGUGGGUUUUCAUCCAUGGGUUCUUCCACCCAUGGAGCCCAAAUGUUUUUCUCAACUUUGUAUAUAUAUUCUAAAUGAUGAAAUCUUAUGGUAUUUUACAUAA
This is a long non-coding RNA of Solanum dulcamara, 1302 nucleotides long. RefSeq lists it as uncharacterized. Lineage: Eukaryota; Viridiplantae; Streptophyta; Magnoliopsida; Solanales; Solanaceae. The transcript is spliced from 4 exons. The record is from RefSeq and is a predicted model, not a curated record.